RNAcentral lists this ribosomal RNA (649 nucleotides) under uncultured bacterium. RNAcentral's name for it is "bacterial SSU rRNA". It matches the Rfam family "Bacterial small subunit ribosomal RNA", at positions 61 to 700 of the family's 1533-position model. The record is from RNAcentral.
GUCGAGGGGCAGCAUCAUUAAAGCUUGCUUUGAUGGAUGGCGACCGGCGCACGGGUGAGUAACACGUAUCCAACCUGCCGACAACACUGGGAUAGCCUUUCGAAAGAAAGAUUAAUACCGGAUGGCAUAGUCUUCCCGCAUGGGAUGACUAUUAAAGAAUUUCGGUUGUCGAUGGGGAUGCGUUCCAUUAGGCAGUUGGCGGGGUAACGGCCCACCAAACCAACGAUGGAUAGGGGUUCUGAGAGGAAGGUCCCCCACAUUGGAACUGAGGCACGGUCCAAACUCCUACGGGAGGCAGCAGUGAGGAAUAUUGGUCAAUGGACGAGAGUCUGAACCAGCCAAGUAGCGUGAAGGAUGACUGCCCUAUGGGUUGUAAACUUCUUUUAUACGGGAAUAAAGUGAGCCACGUGUGGCUUUUUGUAUGUACCGUAUGAAUAAGGAUCGGCUAACUCCGUGCCAGCAGCCGCGGUAAUACGGAGGAUCCGAGCGUUAUCCGGAUUUAUUGGGUUUAAAGGGAGCGUAGGCGGGUUGUUAAGUCAGUUGUGAAAGUUUGCGGCUCAACCGUAAAAUUGCAGUUGAUACUGGCGACCUUGAGUGCAACAGAGGUAGGCGGAAUUCGUGGUGUAGCGGUGAAAUGCUUAGAUAUCAC